This 758-nucleotide long non-coding RNA is filed under the name Equus caballus (horse). Its description in RNAcentral is "lncRNA (ENSECAG00000059811.1)". The record is from RNAcentral. Lineage: Eukaryota; Metazoa; Chordata; Mammalia; Perissodactyla; Equidae.
AGUUGCAUUCUCGGACAGCUCACGAGUGAUAAAGCUGACAUUUCCAGUUCCAUCUGUCUGACUUCUAUUUAUCUCGGUUCAGUUCAGAACUCAAGAGGGUAUAAUUUUGUUUUUGAGGCAAAAAGAGCUACCUAAUUCUCAAGGACAUGGUUAGUUUGAAAGUCCGGGUGAGGCCCCCACAAGGACCCAUUGACUUCUGAAGUGGAAAGAUAUGAAAUUUUCUUGAAGAUGCCAAUCAACUCCAAGCAUGGGCUAUUGUAUUCUUCUCUCUUGACAGACUGGCUUUCUUUGUUAUGAGCACCUGUGGCGGGAAGAAAAUGAUCACUGAUGGUGCUCAAGUGCAUAUGUUACAAUGCCAGUUGCAAAGAGAGACUACAUCUCUUGUUUCUGGGAAAUGGAUCCUGAGUGGCCCAUCUUUGGUCAGGUGUUCGUUUCUUCUUCCAACAAAUAAGGAUGGUAGUAAAAUAAUAGAAACAUUGUUGCUGCUGGGACCCCAACACAGCGGAUUGAGAACUUAUAAAAAACAAGAGAUAAUGAUCAGAGUGGCCAUCCUUACUGACUCCUCUGUGAAUGGAAAUUUCUCUGAAGUGUUGCAUUAAGCAAGAAUAGAUGGAAUCUAACAUAGCAGUUCAUAAAAUUCACAAAAUGAAAUAAAAUAUUCUGGAAACUGUCUUCCAUGAAGCCUUGAAAGAAUUCAUGCAUAAGAAUAUCUUGCAUCAAAGCCUUUAUGUGAAGCAAUCUUUUAAUAUUUAAAAAAA